GUAGGGGCGAAGUCUCUUGCUUUUAAGUUGCGGAUUGCUUCUAAGUACUGAAUUGCUAUGCACUUGUCGUCUUGAGCUCCGCGUGCAAAGAUUUUUCCUUCUGGGGUUAGCGUGGCUGAGAAAGGAGGAUGGGUCCAUUUGGAAGGUUCAGCUGGGACAGAGUCGAGGUGCGAGUUGAAGAGGAGUGAAGGGAGAGAUGGGUUUGAGCCUUGCCAGGUUAUGAGAAGAGUUGGUUUGUUGGAAGUGAAUUCGAGAGUCUGGGUUUUGAGACCGAGGGAUUGGGCUAAGGAGGCUAGAAAAGAGACUGGAGCUGUGUAGUUUGGGUUUGGAUGGGCGGUGUUGAAUCUCAGGUAUUGCUGGUACCGGGUGAUAGGGGUUUCUGGGCCUUGUUGUGGUGGUGAUGUGCCGAGGGAGAGGCGGGGAGAGGGGAGGAGGAGGAGGAGCGCGAACGAGAGAAGGAGAGGGAAGUGGAGGGCGUUGACCAUGGUGGGGUUUGGGAGUGGGAGUGGUCUUCGGCUGUGUAUCCCUUGUUCAGCUUCUUCAAUAGGAUGUUAAUUGUAAUAUUAUUUACUAUUUAGUAUAAAAUAAAAUAAUAUAUAUAUUUAAGAUAUGCUUACAUAUAUAAUAAAAUUAUAAAUGUUACGUGUGUGUACAUAAUAUUAAGAUUAAGGUUUGUAUAUGUUAUAUUAAAUUCAAUAAAUAAAUAUAUAACAAAGAACUUGUGGAGAGGAGGGAUCAACUUUAGUAUCAUCUUUCAAAUAUCACUCCUAUGAUUUUUAAUGACUAAAAUAUCCUCCUUUUGUUUUGUAAAUGUAUUUAUUUUUCUCUAAAAUUACAUAGAAUAUUUCUUAACCUCCAUUCUCUUAUUAAUAUAUUCAAUUCUCCUCAAUAAAUGAAAUUUAAAAUACAAGUUUAUACUCAAACUAUCAUAUUUUAAAAUGCUUUUUAAUAUUUAAUAUGACACAUAACAUGCUCCGGCCAUGCUCUGCCUUUUUUGUUUAUUUUUAAGAAAUCAAGGAAUACAACAAGAACUUGUUUGUUUGAAGGAAGUUCUCGAGGAAGUAUCUAGCAAGUAGUUGAAUGAUAAAAGUUUAUUUUUUUAUGAUUUUAUGUUUGAGCUAUGUGAUUGUUAAUAUGAUGACCAUUUGAAGUUUACAUGAUUAUCAAUUUUAAAACUCGUAAAAUUAAUCGACAUGCAUAUAAGUUGAUUUAGAGAUCCACGUUAAUAAUAAAUAAUAAUAAUAAAGUAGCUCAAGGGGAAAUUUCUUUAGUAUUAUGGGCAAUGGUUAAAUUUAGUUGACUUUUUAUAGCACUUUAGACGUUGCGGUGCAGACAAGCUAGUUCACCAACCAUGUGUAUCACAUCAAGGAAAUAUUCAAUUUUUUUAAAGAUUGAAAUUAUAAUUUUUUUUUGUCAAAAUUCUAUUUUUAUAUAUAUAUAUAUAAUUUAAUAAAUCCAUGACAUUUUUAUCAACAUCCUAAUUUUUUGAAUAAAAACUUAAAACAAUUAAAGUUAUUUAAAUUUAAGAGAAAAAAUAUUUUCUUUAUCAGAACUCUCUAUAUACUAUUCAUUUAUUUGUUUUUAUUUUGAUGAAAAUUGUCUUAUUAAAACUAUUUUUUUUCAUAUAAGAACUUAUCAUGAUGUUGAACCGAUAUUCACUAAAUAAAUGAAAAAUAAUAUUUUGAUUAUUUUACAUGAUUGUAUAGAAAAAUUAAAAAAAUAUUUAAUUCAAAAAGCUAAUAUAAAAAAAUGAUGAUAAAAUAAAUUAUCGAUGAGCAUUUUUUAAAAUAUCAUGCAUAUUAUUUUCUUGUGUAAUUUACAAAUAUAACCAUAAAAAGUGAUAAUCUUAUUUUUUUUAAAUGUGGUAUAAUUGAAUGAUUUUUAAAUUAUAAUUUUAAUUAUGUAUUUAAAGAUGAUUUUAUUUCAAGAUAUAUUUUUUUAUAAAAAAAAAUAGAAGAGACAAAAGUUAACCUAAUGACAGUUUCCAGCUAGCUGCGUGGUGUAAUUUAUAUUUCAGAGUUUUAGAGGAAGGUCUCGGAUUCGACUCCAUUACCGUGACUAGAUUGCAAACAAUUCCAGGUGUUGGGCCACUUAUCCGGCCCACUGCUCAUGAUUUAUCGAUCUAGAAAUCUCAUUAUUCAGAAUUUGCCUAAUAUAGCCUGUCGCCUGCCUUUGUUCUUCAACGAUAUGCCACGGGAUAGGAAAGAGGUGAUGCGACAUUACAGUGUAGGUAAGCGUUUGGUAUUUUUUUUAUUUAAAAAUAUUUUUUUUAGAUUUUUUUUUCAUAUCAACAUAUUAAAAUCAUAAAAAACACUAAAAAAAAUAUCAAUUUAAUAUUUUUUUAAAAGCAAACACACUUUUAAAAUAAAAUAUACACCGUACACAGUUAAAAACACAAUACCAGUGACAAAAGAGAUAACAGUUCCCUUGAGGUCAAUUUAUCAAUAGGUUUGCUAUUUGAACAAUCAACAUGUUAUGGUUCUCCUCCUAAGUUAUCUCCGGCUAAAAUGUAGUUACUGAUUUCUCUUUUUUCCACAAGUUAACAAAGUGGGAAGUUCAGGUUGGAAAACAAAGUGACCUCCACCAUUUCCUCUCCUUUUUUUUUUGUUGCCAUGGGCAAGGCCUGGGCCCAGAUACUAACAAGGCAUCGCCACCGGCCCACCUCUAUAUCUUGAUGCAUACAAAAUAUGGGAAAUGACAGGAGGAGGAGCGUCCAAGCCUUGAGUGCCAAACUGCAUUAAGCAUCCUUGUUAUCAAUAAGAUCUGCACACAUAUUCCCCUCCCUAUGACUCCGCUUUAUUUAGGUAAUCCAAUUACGUUAGCAGAUGGAUGAGAUGAAAACAGGGCAUACGUUACACGGAAAUAUUCUGAAGGACUCGGCUGUUUUCUUACACGGAAACAUUGGCAAACAUUAAGGUUAUCCAAACCUUCAAGAUUUUAAGAAUAAAAAAAAAUAAAAAAAGAAGAAGAAGGAGCUACCGUGAUGCAUAAAAGAAAAGACCUUCAUAUAUAACAUCGAUGAAACUUCUUUGACGUGCAGUAUUGAAUGCUGCCAGUUAGCAGAUGCAUGUAUUUUCUUGUCUACCUGGUCUGAUUUUCCCUUACCUUAAUACUUGAAAAAGGCAAUCAGAGUUAUCACAUGAGUACCUUCUCACACCUCAACUUCAGAGAACAUACGGGUUUAAAGGAUGGAAUAGCAAGUCAACUAUCAACUAAUGGAGUCUGUACAAAAGGGUUUUAAUAGGUCCGUAUACAACAAACUCUGUUGCUCUUCUUAUUGAUAAGCGCUCUUAUUAACAAUGUGAAUGAUGAUCAUUAUAUCAGUCAAGUGCAAUAACCAAAGAAAGAUUAAGCUAUAAAUACCAAAACGAUGCAAGCAUCUUGGCAUAUCUUACCAGUGAAACAACCCCGCCACACCAAAAUCAGAGCAUGCCAUACAUCGGUCCUCCAAUCAUGUCGAAACUGAGAACAUCUAUAUUGAAUUAGCUUCCUCAAAUGAACUCAACGCAUGAAUUAUAUGUUCAUAAACCUCAAUUCCUUUCAAGAAUACGGUGUCUUUCAAGAACUGCAACACACGCUUACAGAUGUAAGUACCAAGCAUGAAUAUGAAACUGCAAAAGAGAAUAAUUUUUUUGCAAACUUGCCAAACCUCGUUAUGGUCAUGCAAUAAAAUAGGGGUAUUUGUCAUUGGAGAGAAUCCAAAAGCGGGAAUCCCCAACUGUCUCAUGAACCGUGCAUCAGUAGUUGAAGCCAAUAUUUCAGGCUUUGCAAGUUUUCCUCCAGCUGCUGCAAUGGCUUGCUUGAAAACAGACCACCAUGGGUUCGAAUCAUCUGUUGCUGUCAUUAAUGGGCGUCCCAUAUAAUCUCUCAAGGGUCCUUUCUCAAUUAUCUAUCAUAUAAACAAGUAAUCAGACAAAUUUCUCUAAUGCAACCUUUACUUGUUGAGAGCCAAAAGCAACACCGCUGCCAAGAGCAAAAAAUCAUGACAUUAUAUGCUCUUGGAAUGGUUGUUAGCAUAAAUUAUCAAACCCUGUAAUUAUGUGGCUUUUAACUACAAUUGAGAUUUCUCAAUAAAUAUUCUCAAGUGACUCACAAACCACAAGACAAUAUCAAUUAAAAUGAAGAAAAAGAGAAGCGAACAAGGUAAUCCAGAUCAUCACAUUGAAUUCAAGUACCAUUCCUUCACAAAUUCCAGACAAAUUUCUCCAGCAGUUGAUGUUUGAACGUCAAAGAGACAGUAACCAAGAAUAUCUAUUGCUGAUUUAAUAAAAGGAUAACAUAACAGACCAUUGAUAUGGAUGGUUCCAUCCCCCUUUGUAUGUCUAGAUGACAUAGUUUAGCUGGUCAGUGGACCAUCCCAUACCAAACCUUUUGAUGGAGGAGCAAAUAAAAGAAUUCAAAGCAGUUAAAAAUCAAUAUUGAUUUCAUAAAGGAGAACCGAGAUUAUUUCAUGCAAAAAUAAACCAUAUCAAUCCUAGGUCUUAUCAGAGAUCGAGUGUUCUUUGUUUUAAGAAGAGACAUUUCCAUGUUUAAAGAUACUCUCAAUCUUAAAUUGUAAAAGUCGAUGCAUCAUUUGCAGUGGCACAAAGUACAUGGAUAACAUUGAAAAUACCCUUAUUGCUAAUACAGCUUUUGCAAUGCACAAUGUAAUUUUUGAAAAAUCCAUAAAAAAAAAGGUAUAUCUAACUUGUUCUUGAUACUAAAGCAUUGAGAAGCAUAUAUCGCGGGAGGACUAGUCAUCUAAGCAACUAUGAAGAAAUUUUCUGAAGAAAAACCUUGUGCGUGCAGCACAUGCAGACCAGAAGAUUGUGCAUUCCAUUUAAGUGCCGGUAUCCAGCACUUAAAUGUUAAAGCAGUGACAAAGCAUUACUAUUGUUAUCACCCACGACCAGGACCAAACUUUGGCAACAUGUUAAAGCAAUAAAAAAUAAAGCCUAUGGUGGUCAGAAUAGUCACGAGAUGACAUUCUGGACAUUCUUAGGCAACUUUAGGCCCUAAAUUGCUCUUUGGGGCCCCAAAUUCAGCUUUUAGGGCAAUGUUUAUGAAAAAGAAAAUAUGAAUGCAGUCAAAUAAUGCUCUAAUAAGGAAUGCUUUUGACUGGUAAACUUCAAAUCUCAAAUAAUCGGGGCAGCGUUUCAAACCAACCAAACUCUCUGAAACAUUCCCAGAUUUCCUACCAUUUCACGAGAUAAGCAAGGACCACUUGAGAUUACUUCAAUUAGUGAGCAUCAAUGCAUCGUGUUAACCACCAAUUCAAAUAACAAAAAGGGCCUCCAUCACGUUGCUAAAAAAGGGAAACAACAACCCACAUUCCCAUGAAUGAAUUCAAAAUGCCAUCUAAAACUUUUAUGAUUGAAGAUAAAUACCCAUCAUGAUGUUACCUCGUACGUCAUGUUUCGUACAGCUGGCGCCCACUCUUCAGCAAUUCUUUUCUUCACAAGAUCUGGGUCCGCUGUAGGAGGCAAUCUAAGAUCAAACCCUGCUUCUGCCUCCGAGGGUUGCAUAUUCAUCACAAAACCCUACACAAGCACCUCUUUAUCAUCAAUAAAGAAACACGCUUAGAGUCCAAACCGUACAAACACAGUAGGACAAACACUUACAGUUGGGGAAGGAAUCCCAGCUUUCAAGAAAACAGGAUUAACUGAGAUAACUUCCGAGUUCGCAGCUUUUCCAGCCUUAACAACGUCAAACUGACUAUCUCUAAACCUGUUGAUAACCUCGAUACUAUCCAUCAAAUUCUCCAUAGCUCCGUUAUCAUACAUUCUCGACCCGUGCCCAGGCACUCCUUUAGCCUUAAUAAUCAAAUUCAAAGGCGACCUAUCAGCAUAAAAAACUCUAAAUUCAUCGUUAACUGAAGCCUGCCCUUCAUCCAAAACAAACCCAACAUCCAAAUCUUUAAACUCUUUAGACUUGACAAACUUACCAGCCCCGUCAAUCCCACCAAUCUCCUCAUCAGGAACAAAAGAAAUGUGUAGUGUUCUUGUAGGGACAAAGUUUCUUGCUUUUAAGUUGCGGAUUGCUUCUAAGUACUGAAUUGCUAUGCACUUGUCGUCUUGAGCUCCGCGUGCAAAGAUUUUUCCUUCUGGGGUUAGCGUGGCUGAGAAAGGAGGAUGGGUCCAUUUGGAAGGUUCAGCUGGGACAGAAUCGAGGUGCGAGUUGAAGAGGAGUGAAGGGAGAGAUGGGUUUGAGCCUUGCCAGGUUAUGAGAAGAGUUGGUUUGUUGGAUGUGAAUUCGAGAGUCUGGGUUUUGAGACCGAGGGAUUGGGCUAAGGAGGUUAGAAAAGAGACUGGAGCUGUGUAGUUUGGGUUUGGAUGGGCGGUGUUGAAUCUCAGGUAUUUUUGGAACCGGGCGAUUGGGGUUUCUGGGUCUUGUUGUGAAUCUUGUGAUGAUGAUGUGGCGAGGGAGAGGCGGAGAGAUAGGAGGAGGAGUGUGAGCGAGAGGAGGAGGGGAAAGUGACGGGCGCUGGCCAUG
This 6471-nucleotide long non-coding RNA is filed under the name Populus tremula. RNAcentral's name for it is "long non-coding RNA (PTRE_LNC001850)". The record is from RNAcentral. Lineage: Eukaryota; Viridiplantae; Streptophyta; Magnoliopsida; Malpighiales; Salicaceae.